GGAGAGGUGGGUGAGUGGCUGAAACCAACGGUUUGCUAAACCGUCGUACGGGGUAAACUCUGUACCGCGGGUUCGAAUCCCGCCAUCUCCG
RNAcentral lists this transfer RNA (91 nucleotides) under Planctomycetota bacterium. RNAcentral's name for it is "Planctomycetes bacterium (groundwater metagenome) tRNA-Ser". It matches the Rfam family "tRNA". Rfam says of the family: Transfer RNA (tRNA) molecules are approximately 80 nucleotides in length. Lineage: Bacteria; Pseudomonadati; Planctomycetota. The record is from RNAcentral.